This 258-nucleotide long non-coding RNA is filed under the name Lathyrus oleraceus (garden pea). RNAcentral describes it as "Pisum sativum (pea) long non-coding RNA (PSAT_LNC007639)". Lineage: Eukaryota; Viridiplantae; Streptophyta; Magnoliopsida; Fabales; Fabaceae. The record is from RNAcentral.
AAAAAGACAAUAACUCCUAAGCAUGGAAUGGAAUGGACCAUGGACUUAGAAAUUUCUUGUUAGUACCCUUGCAUUUGGACUUGGACAUGUGUGAUUGACCUAUGCAAUCUGGAGUUUCCGAUGACUUGUAAUCUUUUAUUGCAAGAAUGGAAAGCAUUCAUGACACUACCUUAGGGAUACAUGAUUUGUAUUUCCAUUGUCCGAUUGUUAGUUUAUGACACAAUUGCACACACAAGACUUUCUCUUGGGCUACCUGAG